This 637-nucleotide ribosomal RNA is filed under the name uncultured bacterium. RNAcentral describes it as "bacterial SSU rRNA". It matches the Rfam family "Bacterial small subunit ribosomal RNA", at positions 607 to 1244 of the family's 1533-position model. The record is from RNAcentral.
GCUUAACCGUGGAGGGUCAUUGGAAACUGGGGAACUUGAGUGCAGAAGAGGAGAGUGGAAUUCCACGUGUAGCGGUGAAAUGCGUAGAGAUGUGGAGGAACACCAGUGGCGAAGGCGACUCUCUGGUCUGUAACUGACGCUGAGGCGCGAAAGCGUGGGGAGCGAACAGGAUUAGAUACCCUGGUAGUCCACGCCGUAAACGAUGAGUGCUAAGUGUUAGAGGGUUUCCGCCCUUUAGUGCUGCAGCAAACGCAUUAAGCACUCCGCCUGGGGAGUACGGUCGCAAGACUGAAACUCAAAGGAAUUGACGGGGGCCCGCACAAGCGGUGGAGCAUGUGGUUUAAUUCGAAGCAACGCGAAGAACCUUACCAGGUCUUGACAUCCUCUGGCAACCCUAGAGAUAGGGCUUCCCCUUCGGGGGCAGAGUGACAGGUGGUGCAUGGUUGUCGUCAGCUCGUGUCGUGAGAUGUUGGGUUAAGUCCCGCAACGAGCGCAACCCUUGAUCUUAGUUGCCAGCAUUCAGUUGGGCACUCUAAGGUGACUGCCGGUGACAAACCGGAGGAAGGUGGGGAUGACGUCAAAUCAUCAUGCCCCUUAUGACCUGGGCUACACACGUGCUACAAUGGGCAGAACAAAG